This 498-nucleotide long non-coding RNA is filed under the name Citrus sinensis (sweet orange). RNAcentral's name for it is "long non-coding RNA (CSIN_LNC005806)". Lineage: Eukaryota; Viridiplantae; Streptophyta; Magnoliopsida; Sapindales; Rutaceae. The record is from RNAcentral.
CAUUUUAAACUGUCUUAUCAAAAUUAUACAUUGAUUUAAUCAAGGAGAGUUUUCUAGACUACCCAAUCUAUAUAUAGAUAAUUCUUAAAGCAGUAUCUAAACAAACUCCUUGGUUAUUAAACACAUAUAUCAAACAUUCAUGCAUUCAAACAAAAUCUGCUCAGUAAUGAAAUUGAAGAUAAAUUUACUUAUGCCCAACUUAAACAAGUUUAUAACAAUGUUCCAAAUUCUCCCAUUAAAACAAUAAAGUCAUUUCCUUUCUUUAACAGUACGUUAAAUUACUACACCUAAGUUACUAUAACAGAAGACCGUUAAACAGUAUAAGUUGGUAUCAUUUUGACUGAAAAACUAAGGGAAAAUAACCAUAAAGCAUUUUACAAUUAAGCAGAGUGAUUUUCAUGUAAAUUCAUCGCAAGAGACUAACCACAGCCGAGCUUGGGCACAAUUUCCCAAGGCUUCAUAUGCUUUGCCUCUCAAAAAACAUAUAGCUGAAGAGAU